AGACCCGAAACCCGGUGAUCUAGCCAUGGGCAGGUUGAAGGUUGGGUAACACUAACUGGAGGACCGAACCGACUAAUGUUGAAAAAUUAGCGGAUGACCUGUGGCUGGGGGUGAAAGGCCAAUCAAACCGGGAGAUAGCUGGUUCUCCCCGAAAGCUAUUUAGGUAGCGCCUCGUGAAUUCAUCUCCGGGGGUAGAGCACUGUUUCGGCUAGGGGGCCAUCCCGGCUUACCAACCCGAUGCAAACUGCGAAUACCGGAGAAUGUUAUCACGGGAGACACACGGCGGGUGCUAACGUCCGUCGUGAAGAGGGAAACAACCCAGACCGCCAGCUAAGGUCCCAAAGUCAUGGUUAAGUGGGAAACGAUGUGGGAAGGCCCAGACAGCCAGGAUGUUGGCUUAGAAGCAGCCAUCAUUUAAAGAAAGCGUAAUAGCUCACUGGUCGAGUCGGCCUGCGCGGAAGAUGUAACGGGGCUAAACCAUGCACCGAAGCUGCGGCAGCGACACUGUGUGUUGUUGGGUAGGGGAGCGUUCUGUAAGCCUGUGAAGGUGUGUCGUGAGGCAUGCUGGAGGUAUCAGAAGUGCGAAUGCUGACAUAAGUAACGAUAAAGCGGGUGAAAAGCCCGCUCGCCGGAAGACCAAGGGUUCCUGUCCAACGUUAAUCGGGGCAGGGUGAGUCGACCCCUAAGGCGAGGCCGAAAGGCGUAGUCGAUGGGAAACGGGUUAAUAUUCCCGUACUUGGUGUUACUGCGAAGGGGGGACGGAGAAGGCUAUGUUGGCCGGGCGACGGUUGUCCCGGUUUAAGCGUGUAGGUGUGUGUUCCAGGUAAAUCCGGUUCACUUUAACACUGAGGCGUGACGACGAGGCACUACGGUGCUGAAGCAACAAAUGCCCUGCUUCCAGGAAAAGCCUCUAAGCAUCAGGUAACAUCAAAUCGUACCCCAAACCGACACAGGUGGUCAGGUAGAGAAUACCAAGGCGCUUGAGAGAACUCGGGUGAAGGAACUAGGCAAAAUGGUGCCGUAACUUCGGGAGAAGGCACGCUGACACGUAGGUGAAGUGAUUUACUCAUGGAGCUGAAGUCAGUCGAAGAUACCAGCUGGCUGCAACUGUUUAUUAAAAACACAGCACUGUGCAAACACGAAAGUGGACGUAUACGGUGUGACGCCUGCCCGGUGCCGGAAGGUUAAUUGAUGGGGUCAGCGCAAGCGAAGCUCCUGAUCGAAGCCCCGGUAAACGGCGGCCGUAACUAUAACGGUCCUAAGGUAGCGAAAUUCCUUGUCGGGUAAGUUCCGACCUGCACGAAUGGCGUAAUGAUGGCCAGGCUGUCUCCACCCGAGACUCAGUGAAAUUGAACUCGCUGUGAAGAUGCAGUGUACCCGCGGCAAGACGGAAAGACCCCGUGAACCUUUACUAUAGCUUGACACUGAACAUUGAGCCUUGAUGUGUAGGAUAGGUGGGAGGCUUUGAAGUGUGGACGCCAGUCUGCAUGGAGCCGACCUUGAAAUACCACCCUUUAAUGUUUGAUGUUCUAACGUGGACCCGUUACCCGGGUUGCGGACAGUGUCUGGUGGGUAGUUUGACUGGGGCGGUCUCCUCCUAAAGAGUAACGGAGGAGCACGAAGGUUGGCUAAUCCUGGUCGGACAUCA
Molecule: ribosomal RNA, 1648 nt
Filed under: Salmonella enterica
Lineage: Bacteria; Pseudomonadati; Pseudomonadota; Gammaproteobacteria; Enterobacterales; Enterobacteriaceae
Also listed under: 1 other name
Description: partial 23S ribosomal RNA
Rfam family: Bacterial large subunit ribosomal RNA
Source: RNAcentral